AACGAACGCUGGCGGCAGGCUCAACACAUGCAAGUCGAACGCGUGCAGCAAUGCACGAGUGGCGCACGGGUGAGUAACGCGGGGAUAUCUGCCUUUUGGUUCGGAAUAACCCCGGGAAACUGGGGCUAAUACCGGAUGGUUCCUACGGGAUAAAGAUUUAUCGCCAAAAGAUGAGUCCGCGUCCGAUUAGCUAGUUGGUGAGGUAAUGGCUCACCAAGGCGACGAUCGGUAGCUGGUCUGAGAGGACGAUCAGCCACACUGGGACUGAGACACGGCCCAGACUCCUACGGGAGGCAGCAGUGGGGAAUAUUGGACAAUGGGGGCAACCCUGAUCCAGCCAUGCCGCGUGAGUGAUGAAGGCCUUCGGGUUGUAAAGCUCUUUUGGCGGGGACGAUGAUGACGGUACCCGCAGAAUAAGCCCCGGCUAACUUCGUG
Molecule: ribosomal RNA, 435 nt
Filed under: uncultured bacterium
Lineage: Bacteria
Description: partial 16S ribosomal RNA
Rfam family: Bacterial small subunit ribosomal RNA
Source: RNAcentral